Rattus norvegicus (Norway rat) is the source of this 11636-nucleotide non-coding RNA. The record is from RefSeq and is a predicted model, not a curated record. Lineage: Eukaryota; Metazoa; Chordata; Mammalia; Rodentia; Muridae.
UUCUGGUGUAUCUGAAGACAGCUACAGUGUACUUAUAUAUAAUAAAUAAAUAAAUCUUUUUUAAAAAAAAAAAGCCAAAAAGGAUUUCAUGACUCAUGAGAAUUAUACCGGUGUCCACGAAUAAAGUUUCACUGGGACAUAGCCAGAUCUAUUUGUUUCUAUUCUACCGAGCAUGCUGUGGUGGUUGAAAUAUUGAGUAGCUGUGGCAAGGGUCUGUGAGACCUAUAGAACCUAAAAUAUUUGUCCUCUAACCCUUUACAAAGAGUGUUCUGACCCCUGCUAUGGAGGUGUCCUUACCGAGGUAGAAAUCCACCUUCACUAUUGACAAGAUGUUUGCCUUUAAGCUGACAACAACCCCCUUAGACCUUGGUUUUGACAUCUGUUCAGUGGGUACAAUCCGUAUGCUGAACAAAGGCAAAAAACGAUAGCGGAUCUGUGGUGAGCAGUUAACCACACGUUCAGUGCUCGUUGUUUCUCAUCACACUCAGGGUCUCUGUGCCCAGCUGAAGAAAAGAGAGAACAUUCCCUUCUAACCCAUGGACCACCCUUGUUGAGGACUUUCCUGUCACACUUUACAGUGACAGAUAGCAGCUGCCCAGUGACUUCCGGCUGUUUCUAGUGGGGAGGGGAGAUGUGUAUACCUGGUGGGAAAUACCCUGUCUCACAACCCCUUGUCCAUCAAGGUCUGAGGGGGUCCCCAGUCCCUCCCAGUAUAUCCCUGUGGACUGGGGGUUUGGCACACCCACAGCUGGGGCUCUUCAGCUAUGCUCCGCUCCCACUCGAGAGAUCUGGGCCUGUCCGCUCCUAGGCACCUCAGAUUACUCUCUCCUCCGCCUGCCGGGUUCUCAGUUAAGAAGCAUGGCUAACACUGGACACUAUCAUAGUUUCCGCUCUGUUGCUAUAUAAACACCAUAACCAAAAGCAACUUGGGAAGGAUUUCUUUCAGCUUACACUUGUAGGUAGGAGUCCCAUCAGUGAGAGAGUAAGGGAAGGAGCCCAAAGUACCUAGAGCGGAAACCAUGCAGAAGGCCGGUUACUGCUUGCUCUUGCUCAUUUUCUGCUAGAUUUUUUUUUCUUCUCUUUUUCUAUUUAAAAAAAAAAAAAAAAGACAGGUCUUGCUGGAGAGUGGGGCACACCUUUAAUCCCAGCACUUGCAGGAGCAGAGACAGUUGGAUCUGCUGAGUUCUAAGAGAGCCAGAGAAAUUUUGUCUCCAAAAAAAGAGACAGACAGGAUCUUGUUAUACAGCCCUCACUGACCUCCAAUUCCCAGAGACUUGCCUGCCACGCUCUCCCAUCUACUGGGAUUAAAAGUGUUAGCCAUCAUACCUGGCUGUCUGCUGCUUAUUUAGCCCAGCCCCACCUGCUAGACCCUCCCACAUCUGUCAAGACAGUUCCUCACAGACAGUGCCACAGAACAGUCUGAUGGAGGUGAUUCUUCAGUUGAGGUCUCCCUUACUCAGGAGGCUCUAAAUUGUGUCAAGCUGGCAAUAAACUCCAGCUAAGACGUACACAGAGGAAGAAAGAGCACUGCCUUCUGGGAUGAGUGGAUGACUUAUGGGAACCAGUGAAAGGACACAAUGGUGCUGGCUGUCCCAGCCUUGCCACUGCUUGGCUUUUGGUCAUCAGUGAGGCACCUAAUCUCUUGACACUUUACUUUCCUAGAAUAUGAAGUGGGCAUAAUUCCACCUUAGAGGAAUCAAUAUGCUUAUAAUGCAAGUCACACAGAUGCAUACUCCGGGCCCUGUUUCCUCGUGUAGAGCAGCGCAGCACUGCCCCAGAGUGGAAGUGGAUAGUCUCUUGAGGCUGUCCCCAGACCAGGCAGGGGGAGUAGAUGAAUGGGAACCCCAACAACAACAGAGACCAGUCCAGAGCUAUGGAUGUUUCUGGGGAGCACCCUCCUGUUGUAGCUCUGCCGAAGCUGUCACCCUGUGCUUUUCACCUCUCGGAAGAGUUAACGCCUUGUAGGCAGCUCUUCAGGCCGGUGACAUUUGGACUUUAAUGUGUUGGCCCUCCUGCGCUGCCUGCCCUGAGCUGUGCGGUGGACGCACAGCCAGCACCAGUUAUUGUCUGUGGCGCUUGCCUGCAGCCUCGCUCCGGCCCCGGCUCCACCCCUUGCUGCGAGGUCUGUUUCCUAACAGCUGCUCCAACCACACACCUCGGUUCUGCCCGAGCUCCUCCUCUUCCUCCCUCCCUCAUUCAGGGUGGGUGGGACUGAAGGACGGACUAACUUGACAGCAGCAUCUCAUUUUAGCUAGUCACCGGCCCCUUCCCCAGAAUGCCUGUGUGUCUCUAGCCUCUGAAGAGAGGUACUUCUCCCGGAGCCCCGGUGGGCCACGGAGCUCCGGAGAACCGGGGAGGAGACGCACCAGCCAUGUGCCCCUGCGGGUAUCUGCCAAGGAACCAGGGGCCUGGAAUCGUCUCUCUCCUGCUGCUUCGGAGGCAGAGGUGAGCACCGGGCGGCCGGCUCCAACCAAAGGUGCCGGGAACCCGACUGUCAUGGUGGCCGUCUGCAGCCAGCCUGAGGCACUCCCAGACGGGUUUGCAGCUGAGCCUGUUGAUCUGGUGUGGGAAGAAGAUGGGGAGUUACUUGUCUGUCCCGGCUUACUUCACCUCCAGAGACCCCUUUAGGUGUUCCGAGUGCCAGGAGUCCCUCACCAACUGGUACUAUGAGAAGGACGGGAAGCUCUACUGCCACAAGGACUACUGGGCCAAGUUUGGAGAAUUCUGCCACGGGUGCUCCCUGCUGAUGACAGGGCCAGCCAUGGUGGCUGGGGAGUUUAAGUACCACCCAGAGUGCUUUGCCUGCAUGAGUUGCAAGGUGAUCAUCGAGGAUGGGGAUGCGUACGCCCUGGUGCAGCAUGCUACACUCUACUGCGGGAAGUGCCACAAUGAGGUGGUGCUGGCACCCAUGUUUGAAAGACUGUCUACGGAGUCUGUCCAGGACCAGCUGCCCUACUCUGUCACGCUCAUCUCCAUGCCUGCCACCACCGAGUGCAGACGUGGCUUCUCUGUGUCUGUGGAAAGCGCCUCCUCUAACUAUGCCACCACCGUGCAAGUGAAAGAGGUCAACCGGAUGCACAUCAGCCCCAACAACCGAAAUGCCAUCCACCCCGGGGACCGCAUCUUGGAGAUCAAUGGGACCCCUGUCCGCACUCUCCGAGUAGAAGAGGUGGAGGAUGCGAUUAACCAGACGAGCCAGACACUUCAACUGCUGAUUGAACAUGACCCUGUCCCCCAGCGCCUGGACCAGUUACGGCUAGACACCCGGCUUUCUCCCCACAUGCAGAGUAGUGGACAUACUCUCAUGCUCAGCACCUUGGACGCCAAGGAAAAUCAGGAGGGAACACUGAGGAGACGUUCUCUGAGGCGCAGUAACAGCAUCUCCAAGUCUCCUGGCCCCAGCUCCCCCAAGGAGCCGCUGCUCCUGAGCCGAGACAUCAGUCGCUCAGAGUCCCUUCGCUGCUCCAGCAGCUACUCACAGCAGAUCUUCCGGCCCUGUGACCUGAUCCACGGGGAGGUCCUGGGGAAGGGCUUCUUCGGACAGGCCAUCAAGGUGACUCACAAAGCCACAGGCAAAGUGAUGGUCAUGAAGGAGUUAAUUCGCUGUGAUGAGGAAACCCAGAAGACUUUCCUGACUGAGGUGAAAGUGAUGCGAAGCCUGGACCACCCUAACGUGCUUAAGUUCAUCGGGGUCCUGUACAAGGACAAGAAGCUGAAUCUGCUGACAGAGUACAUUGAGGGGGGCACCCUGAAGGACUUUCUGCGCAAUGUGGACCCGUUUCCCUGGCAACAGAAGGUCAGGUUUGCCAAAGGCAUCGCUUCCGGAAUGGCUUAUUUACACUCCAUGUGCAUCAUCCACCGAGAUCUGAACUCGCACAACUGUCUCAUCAAAUUGGACAAGACGGUGGUGGUAGCAGACUUCGGGCUGUCACGUCUCAUAGUGGAAGAGAGGAAAAGGCCUCCAGUAGAGAAGGCCGCCACCAAGAAACGCACCUUACGCAAGAGUGAUCGCAAGAAGCGCUACACUGUGGUGGGAAACCCCUACUGGAUGGCCCCUGAGAUGCUGAAUGGCAAGAGCUACGAUGAGACUGUGGAUGUCUUCUCUUUUGGGAUUGUUCUCUGUGAGAUCAUUGGGCAGGUAUAUGCUGAUCCCGACUGCCUUCCCCGCACACUGGACUUCGGCCUCAACGUAAAGCUUUUCUGGGAGAAGUUUGUCCCAACAGACUGUCCCCCAGCCUUCUUCCCCCUGGCUGCUAUCUGCUGCAAACUGGAGCCUGAGAGCAGCUCUUCUUUCCAGGAGGAAGCCUUGGGAAACCCACCCUUCCCAACCCUGGGAAGCUCCAUCAGCCAAACCCUGGGGCACUACAGAGUUCAAGACUUGCAGGAAUUACUGAUUGCUCUGGGUCUACAUGCAAGCUGGGCUCGCCAGAGAGAAGAGAGGUGAAGAACCAGAGCUGCUGCUACCUGCCUCUAUGGAAACAGAGGCCUCUGCGGCUGAUUCCAAACCAGAAGCCACGCAGUGCAACUCUGCUGCUGCUCUGGGCAAGUUUUCCAAGGCGGUUACUGUACAGGCGCACAAGCGAAUCCCCAAGUGUCUCAGCUCCUCGUUGGGAAGAGAGCUUCAAGGCCGGUGACGAACUGGGUAAAAAAAGUCGUCUGAGGAACGCAUACAGCAGGGCCUGACUUAUCAAGGAAGCAUGAAACCAACAAUGGGCCUGUGAUUAGCAUCUGAUUACUGUCCCACUGCUUAUGUGCGAUGUUUGUGCAGGGGAAACGUCCACAUUUAGCAGGCAUGAUACCUGCCAAGCAGGGUGGUCUGAAAUGGCAUUGAGCUUACAGCCCUUGCCCUGAUGACUGUUCCCUACGGGUGGGGAGAGGGGGAGGCUCGGAGCUUGCUUCUAGCCCACAUGCGGUUUCCUGUUGUACAGGUUGUUCUCAGAGCCUGUUUGCUAAGGAAAGGGGUGGUCCGGAGGUUAGUGACAGGGAGUCUGGUGACUUAGUGCCUUCCCCCUGUGUGUACAGCAAAGUUCCCUCAAGGUCACAUGGCAGCCCCAUGACAGCCUAAAAAAAGUAAAACUAAAAGAAAAAGGCCUGCUGGCCUCUGCACCUGGCCCCAGCUGAGCCUGGAUUAAGAGCAGUUAGUACAUGCUUCUGAAGCUCUGGAAACUGUCAUAAGAUUGGAAGGCAGCCAAAGGCUGUCCAGAGGCUGAGGAACAUGGGAAAAUCUCAGGGCUCAGUCCAGCACGGUUUGGGUCAGUGGACUGCACAGGCAGAGAGCAGCUAUACUGUUUUCUUCAGAGUUUCUACAUGAACAAGUAGGUGUCCCUGGACCUGCAAGUCAUCGAUGCUUCUGAGGACCAUGACCUCAGUCUGGGAGUUAGGAUGCUCUCUCUCAGGUCAAUCUCGGAACCUCUCUGCUCCCUUGACUCACGGGGAAUCAGAGACACCCGUAAAAUCACCUGUUCAUGCAAAUGGUAGGGCUGGGAUGGAAAGGAGUACAACCCCAGUGCCCAUUUCAGAAACAGCGCUGCUGUCGUCAUCCCUAACUCCCCACCUGAUGGAUAGACCGAGGCUCAGAAGAGCUAAGUGGUCAGGUGCUCAUAUCCUCUGGACAAGCACACCAGCGACUGUUCAUGGAUCGCUCGCUGUGGGCCACACACCAAAGCUAAGCAGCCACCAGCCACACACCCUCCCCAUACACCCUCCCCUCCCCGCAGGACCGCUCUGGACUGGUAACAAGAAGCAACCCGCCCCACUGCGCCACACGGACGGACGGACGACAGCUUGUUCCACCAUAUUCUGAACCCGUAACCACGGGCAGAGCGCCUAUUCUCUUGCCUCGAGUUUCCUCAUCUGAGAACUGGAAAGAACACCAGUUUUAUCCUCUAAGAGUGAUCGGGACCGUAAUCUCAGCCCUCGGGAGAAGGGAGCAGGAUUCAGACUUCAGACUUCAAGAAGCCAGGCUUGGUGAUUUAACACUUUAAUCCUAGCAACCAGGAAGCAGAGGCAGGCAUUUCUCUGAAUUCAAUGCCAGACUGGUCUGUCUAGAGAGAUCCGUGACAGCCAGAGUUACAGGGUGAGUGAGACCCUGUCUCCAACAGAUCAAAACAACAAAACCCCAACCUCGAACAACAACAACAACAACAACAACAACAGUAAGAGUUCAAGGCCAUGAGAGCAUGCCACCUCUGUAGCAAAGCCUCGCCUGCCCCUUUCCAUCUGCAAUGUGGCUGGCUCCAAAACCUCUAAGAGCGCCUCCGGUUUAGAAAACAAUGGCUGAGACAAUUCAACACACUUCAGACAUGGCUCCCACUGCUCAACACGCUUCAGACACGGCUCCCACUGCUGGACAACCAAGCCCACUGUACCACUUCUCUUACAGGGAGGCUUCUCCCAUCAGAGCAAUACAGCUGGUUCGUGGGGCUGGAACUCAUGCCGGAUUUUGUCCAAGAACACUCGGUGUUGUAACAAUGGUUUGUUUUUUUUUUUCUUUUUUUUUUUUUCUUUUUUCUCGGAGCUGGGGACUGAACCCAGGGCCUUGCAGGCAAGCACUCUACCACUGAGCUAAAUCCCCAACCCCGUAACAAUGGUUUUGAUUCUUAGAGCCACACGUCACCAGUUGUGACAGACUUGUCCCAUGGGGCUGCAAGUUUGUCCUUGCUUCCCAAGCAGUCUCUUGCACUUUCAUAUCCGGUAAGAAGCGGCCUUUUCCCUAAUCAUUUCUUUUCUUCUCCCUACCCUAGAGGACACCCCACUGAUACAAUUUAAGCCCCAGUGGGAGACUUCAAGACCAGGGGCUAGGAACCUUUCCUAACAGUGGAAUGUUUUGACACGUGGUCUCACUCUGUCUUACAGAUGGUGGUAACUCACCACCUGUCUGCUCAGAUUAAAGAUCAUGUCUUGCUUUUAUUGAGGUUUUACUUGUUUUUCUUUUGGUCUUUUGGAAGCAGAGCCUCUGUUUGCAAACUUGUAGACCUCCUGCCUCAGUCUCCUGAGUUCUGGGAUUAGAGUAUGUAUGAAGCAGGACACCUAUCUUAGGAACAGAAUUUCAAAACUCAACAAAAUGGGGCUGGGGAGAUGGCUCAGGGGUUAAGAGCACUGACCGCUCUUCCAGAGGUCCUGAGUUCAAUUCCCAGCAACCACAUGGUGGCUCACAACCAUCUGUAAUGGGAUCUGACACCCUCUUCUGGCGUAUGUGGACACAGUGACAGUGUACUCAUAUAAAUAAAAUAAAUAAAUCUUUCUUUAAAAAAAAAAAAAACUCGGGGUUGGGGAUUUAGCUCAGUGGUAGAGCCUUGGGUUCCGUCCCCAGCUGGGGGGGGGGGGGACUCAACAAAAUGAAUCUCUCUUCCUUCAGAGCAUGAUGAGGAGGGCUCAGAAAUCCCAUUCCUCAAGGGGUUGAGGCAGGAUUAUGAGUAAGAGACUACCCCUUCAAGGUCAGUCAGGGCUACAGAUGGAGACCUUGUCUGGGGGGGUGGGGGGUGGGGGUGGGAGGAAUCAGUAUCUAAGCCCUUAACCUGAGAGACCAAGAUCACCAGGCAGUGACGAAGGCCAAAUCUCUACUCUUGGACUGGUUUUGCUUCCUUCCAUACCGUACUUCCUUUUGAAAGACACCAAGAAGAUGGUCUGAUACUGUAUCUCUUCCUCAGCCCUAUUCCGUGGGAGUUGGGAAAAGAAACUACCCACCUCUUGUAAGUGUAGCCCAAGACGAUGCCAACUCCAAUAGCGAUGAUAAUUACCGUCAUAGUAACGCCCAACACGUAGCCUGCAAACGACAGGACAUGAGGUCCCGUUAGCCACACCCUGGACCAGCAGCAAAUGACAUCAUCUGUCGAAUUCUGACACAUGCAGCCAUACCCAAAGUUCCCAGGUCUUUUUUUUCCUUGGAGUUCAUCCUCACACGCUGACUGAUCCCGAUCACUGGCUGCACCUCUGCCGCCUCACUCCUGGCUGGCAGGGCGUUAGCAGGAGGGAACACCUGUGUCUCUUUGUCACCGGGCACACCAAACUUCUCUUCCAGCUCCGUUGUAGAGGACGGUGGUGGUGGUGGUGGUGCUUGGGAAGUGGUCUCUGGUAGAGGUGAGGUGAGAAACAGGUCUCAUCAAGGACUGCCCUAAGUGCAUUCUACAGUCAAACCUGACCUGACCUGACCUGACCUGACUGUUGGGGAUGUUACAGGAAGGGUCAGCCCUAAAAUGCUCCCCUAAACUGUUAUCAAAUCCUGCCCUGGCGAACACCUGAAUUAAGGACCAGAGGCAGGAGCAUCUCCAUGAAUCCCAGCCAGUCUUGCAAGCCGGGGCUACAAAGUGAGAUCCUAUCACAAACACAGAAAGAAAAAAAAAAAAAAAAAAACUUCUCCUGCCUUAGAGGCAAAAUCAAGUCUGAAAGGGUUGCACUGUGGUUGGGAUGUACCAGGCAAAUCUGAGGAAAUGGUCUCAAGAAACAAUAGCCUCUCUCCUGCCUCCCACUUGUCUUAUCAAGUCCUUGCAAUCUUCCAACACCCAGCUGGGCUUGCCAGAGGGUUUCUCCAGUGACUGCACGCGGGUCUUCACAGCAGGAGACAACCCACACUGAGUGCAAGAUUCCUGCCAAUCCCAAUGUUAAGGGCUUAACCUUGAGAACUGUCUUAAUUUAAUCCUAGAGAAUUGUCUUAGUUUUCUUAAGUCUAAAAGCUUUGAAUUCAAAUCACAACACACCCAUUGCCUUUGGCAGGUGGUCAAACUUCUGGGUGACUCAGGUCCCUCACACAGCUUCUUCCCUGAGACUGUGAGCUGGGGACGCUACACACAGUAAAGGCUGGUGGAGCGCUUUGCGGAACGAGCGAACUGCCUCCCACCGUUGUUUACAAGUGCUCGCAGAGGAUGAGCUCACUCCGAAUGCUGCGGCGGCCAAUGGGCUUUGGGCUCCGCGGCCUGGAGAUAGCUCUGACCAAUCGGACCGCGCGGGGGUGGAACGGGGCGGGGCCGGGGUCGAGCAGCCGCACGUGCGCCGCGGGUGUAACCGCUGCUGCGCUGCUCGGCGCACGGGACUAACGUCCCCUACCCAGGGGUCCCAGGGCGGGUACCUGGGCAACGCAAGUCCUCGCAGGGCCGCUUUUCAGGGACGCCAGUCUCGCUGCUGAUGUAGCACCAGGGCCCACGCGGAUCCUGGUCCGGGUUCCGGCAGUAGUUGUGGUUGCCGGGGCCUGGGGUGGGGAGAAGAGGCGUUAAGGGCCGCGGCCGCCGCCCACCAACCCCGCCCGUCACCCCGGCGUUCACUCACUGGGCUGGGCGAGCGACUCGCCGCUGCCUUGCGCGGCCAACCAGUUGAGGCAGCGGAGACCCGGCGCGGGCGAGGGCUGGUCCUCCCGGUACAGGUGGCCGUUGUCCCAGAAGCAGCCUGUGAGGAAGAGGAACCCACCCGGGACCCUGAGUGCGGCUCUCUGGCCCCGUGGGCGAAAGCCCUGGGUACCUCAGAGAAAAGCGGAGAGCUUGAGUCAUGCCCCUAGCGGCGUCUGGUCCACAGAUAACAACAGUGAGAUUUAGCUUUAAAAAAAAAAAAAAAGAAGAAGCUUGAGAUCGCUGCACAAAUGCAAAGGGUUGUUACUCCUGGACUUGGGACUACUUUGAAGGUGCAGGAAGCCUGGCUGAGGUCCUUCUGUGGAGAUGACGAGUUUAGUUCUGGGCAGUCAGACAUGGAAGUCAUCCCAGUGUUGAGAAGUCAAUGUUACAUAAACUGACGUUCCCUUCUCCACGAAUACAGCCACCUUCUGCUAGUUUAACAGACACCACCGGCUCCCAAGAGAAUUUCACAAAAGCCUUUGACUCAGUGAAGCAAAAGAUUCAAUAGAGACUCCAGCUGAGGGAGCCUGCCACAUCUCUUCAGCUCCCACUCCCCUCAGCAGAGAGCCACAGGAGGAGCUGCAGAGGGGAGGUUUGUGCGCCUGCCACACUAUACAAAUGGACUUUAAAAGGGUAGGACUCUGGGGAGUAGAAGAGAUGAAUUCCCAAGCUCCAUCCACUCGUGUAAAAGGAGAGAGAAAGAGAAAGUGACUACUUGUCUUUGUUCUUAAUGGCAAAUAUGGAGCUGCAACGAAGGAGAGAAGAAGGCUUUCGUAGGAUAGCAAGAAAAGCAGCCAAAAUCUUCCUUCCCUGUCAGCCUGGCCACAUUUGGGAAAUCUGGGGGCUUUAGCCGUUCUGCUUCAUUAAGUUGCUGCAGAAAGGGAAGAAAAAAAUGUAAUCUCACCUCCAGAUCCAUAGGCUUCUGCCAGAAGCAUGUUGCUGAGAAGAAAUGUGUGUACCCAAGCCAACAGCAUCCUCGCCUCUUCCGGCUUGCAGGUGACUGAACAGCCAGUGUCCGAAUGGGGUCUCCUUGGCAGCAGUUUUGUCUUCUAGUUCCCAGCCUUGCAGUCAGACCGGCCCUUAUUAUGCUCUUCUGGUAAACAGCCUCUCUUUAGAACUGGGAGCUUCCCAGCUAGCUUGCUGCAGCCGAGGUGUUUUUCAGCUGAAAGGCGCCCCCUGGGUCCUAAGCCUCCUAGACCUUACCAGAUCACUAACCCUGAGCCAAGAGAGGAACUCAGCCAAGUGGAGAGUGGCAGAGAGGUUUUGCUUAGCAGCAGAUCCGUGUGAGACCUGCAGGACUCCAUCCCCAGAGCUUUUCUUUUCCAUCAGUGACUGUGAGUGAAAGCAGCUUUCACAUCGGAGGGUGAAGUGGUGCCACUUAACCUGAACUCUCAAGGUACAUUCUAGGAAAGAGGCGUCAACCCUGACCCUGUGUACUUGGUAUCCAGUUCUAUGCCAGGGCAGGCAAAGUCCAGCAUCUGGGCAACCCAGAAAGCAUGAGGAGGACCCAGCUCAGGGAUUAUCAUCAGGACCGGGUGAGAGGCCAAGGUGACGGGAAUUCAGUCUUCCACCCAACCUGCAAUCUGUGAACCAUGGAAAGGGCUCUCAUAGACACCUUGGGAGACUGUGAACAUGCCCAUUUAGCCAAGGACAAGAGCUGGCUCUGCCAAAGAUCCAAGAACUACCUUAACCCUGCAGCUAUGAGUGGGGGCAGUUUUGUUUGGUUUUUUGGGAGGGGGAGGGUUGAAGCAAGGUGUUACCAUGUAGCCCUGGCUGUCCUAUAAUUCACUAUGUAGACCAGGCCACCCUUGAACUCAAGAGAUCUACCUACCUCUGUCUGCCUCCUGAGUGCUGGAAUUAGACGUGCACCACCUCAACCACCAAAAAAGGUUAAAGUGCCAGAACUAAGGAACGGACAUGAACCAGGUGAGAAUAGCCAGGACUGCCUUCCCUUUUCCAGAGAGGAAUUAAAGAUACCUGGCUCCUUUACCAUUUGGGAUCUUUCCUGUAAAAGCUUUGCCGGGUCAUACUCUGAACCAAGGUAAUGGAGAGCCAACGCCCCAUUAUCCCCAACUAGAUUAAAUAUUUGGGGAUUAACUAAGCAACACUAAAAGUGCAAAUACAGGGGGCUGGAGAGAUGGCUCAGUGGUUAAGAACACCCGACUGUUCUUCCAGAGGUCAUGAGUUCAAUUCCCAGCAACCACAUGGUGGCUCACAACCAUCUGUAAAGAGAUCCGAUGCCCUCUUCUGGUGUGUCUGAAGACAGCUACAGUGUACUUAUAUAUAAUAAAAUAAAUCUUUAAAAAAAAAAAAAAA